AGGAACCGUACCCCAAACCGACACAGGUGGUUGGGUAGAGAAUACCAAGGCGCUUGAGAGAACUCGGGUGAAGGAACUAGGCAAAAUGGCACCGUAACUUCGGGAGAAGGUGCGCCGGUGAGGGUGAAGGACUUGCUCCGUAAGCCCACGCCGGUCGAAGAUACCAGGCCGCUGCGACUGUUUAUUAAAAACACAGCACUCUGCAAACACGAAAGUGGACGUAUAGGGUGUGACGCCUGCCCGGUGCCGGAAGGUUAAUUGAUGGGGUUAGCUAACGCGAAGCUCUUGAUCGAAGCCCCGGUAAACGGCGGCCGUAACAAUAACGGUCCUAAGGUAGCGAAAUUCCUUGUCGGGUAAGUUCCGACCUGCACGAAUGGCGUAACGAUGGCGGCGCUGUCUCCACCCGAGACUCAGUGAAAUUGAAAUCGCUGUGAAGAUGCAGUGUAUCCGCGGCUAGACGGAAAGACCCCGUGAACCUUUACUAUAGCUUUGCACUGGACUUUGAAUUUGCUUGUGUAGGAUAGGUGGGAGGCUUUGAAGCGUGGACGCCAGUUCGCGUGGAGCCAACCUUGAAAUACCACCCUGGCAACUUUGAGGUUCUAACUCAGGUCCGUUAUCCGGAUCGAGGACAGUGUAUGGUGGGUAGUUUGACUGGGGCGGUCUCCUCCUAAAGAGUAACGGAGGAGUACGAAGGUGCGCUCAGACCGGUCGGAAAUCGGUCGUAGAGUAUAAAGGCAAAAGCGCGCUUGACUGCGAGACAGACACGUCGAGCAGGUACGAAAGUAGGUCUUAGUGAUCCGGUGGUUCUGUAUGGAAGGGCCAUCGCUCAACGGAUAAAAGGUACUCCGGGGAUAACAGGCUGAUACCGCCCAAGAGUUCAUAUCGACGGCGGUGUUUGGCACCUCGAUGUCGGCUCAUCACAUCCUGGGGCUGAAGCCGGUCCCAAGGGUAUGGCUGUUCGCCAUUUAAAGUGGUACGCGAGCUGGGUUUAGAACGUCGUGAGACAGUUCGGUCCCUAUCUGCCGUGGACGUUUGAGAUUUGAGAGGGGCUGCUCCUAGUACGAGAGGACCGGAGUGGACGAACCUCUGGUGUUCCGGUUGUCACGCCAGUGGCAUUGCCGGGUAGCUAUGUUCGGAAUAGAUAACCGCUGAAAGCAUCUAAGCGGGAAACUAGCCUCAAGAUGAGAUCUCACUGGGACCUUGAGUCCCCUGAAGGGCCGUCGAAGACUACGACGUUGAUAGGUUGGGUGUGUAAGCGCUGUGAGGCGUUGAGCUAACCAAUACUAAUUGCCCGUGCGG
RNAcentral lists this ribosomal RNA (1299 nucleotides) under metagenome. RNAcentral's name for it is "bacterial LSU rRNA". It matches the Rfam family "Bacterial large subunit ribosomal RNA", at positions 1637 to 2912 of the family's 2925-position model. The record is from RNAcentral.